RNAcentral lists this ribosomal RNA (253 nucleotides) under uncultured bacterium. RNAcentral's name for it is "partial 16S ribosomal RNA". It matches the Rfam family "Bacterial small subunit ribosomal RNA", at positions 524 to 776 of the family's 1533-position model. The record is from RNAcentral.
UACGUAGGUGGCAAGCGUUGUCCGGAUUUACUGGGCGUAAAGAGCGCGCAGGCGGUCGGAUCAGUCGAAUGUGAAAGCCCCCGGCUCAACUGGGGAGGGUCAUUCGAUACUGUCCGACUCGAAGGCAGGAGAGGGAAGCGGAAUUCCCGGUGUAGUGGUGAAAUGCGUAGAUAUCGGGAGGAACACCAGUGGCGAAGGCGGCUUUCUGGCCUGUGCUUGACGCUGAGGCGCGAAAGCUAGGGGAGCGAACGGG